CCCUUAGAUGUCCUGGGCCGCACGCGCGCUACACUGAACGGAUCAGCGCGUUUUCCCUUCCCGAGAGGGACGGGUAACCUGCUGAACCCCGUUCGUGGUAGGGAUCGGGGCUUGCAAUUAUUCCCCGUGAACCAGGAAUGCCCAGUAAGUGCAAGUCAUAAGCUUGCGUUGAUUACGUCCCUGCCCUUUGUACACACCGCCCGUCGCUACUACCGAUUGAACGUUUUAGUGAGGUACUCGGACUGAGCCUCAGAAGAUUCACGUCUUUUGUGCUGCCCGGGAAGAUUCCCAAACUUGAGCGUUUAGAGGAAGUAAAAGUCGUAACA
RNAcentral lists this ribosomal RNA (326 nucleotides) under uncultured eukaryote. Its description in RNAcentral is "partial 18S ribosomal RNA". It matches the Rfam family "Eukaryotic small subunit ribosomal RNA", at positions 1470 to 1796 of the family's 1831-position model. The record is from RNAcentral.